RNAcentral lists this ribosomal RNA (836 nucleotides) under Prevotella sp. RNAcentral describes it as "bacterial SSU rRNA". It matches the Rfam family "Bacterial small subunit ribosomal RNA", at positions 1 to 825 of the family's 1533-position model. Lineage: Bacteria; Pseudomonadati; Bacteroidota; Bacteroidia; Bacteroidales; Prevotellaceae. The record is from RNAcentral.
ACAGUGGAGAGUUUGAUCCUGGCUCAGGAUGAACGCUAGCUACAGGCUUAACACAUGCAAGUCGAGGGGCAGCAUACUGAUAGCUUGCUAUCAGUGAUGGCGACCGGCGCACGGGUGAGUAACGCGUAUCCAACCUUCCCCGUAGUAGGGCACAGCCCGGCGAAAGUCGGAUUAAUUCCCUAUGUUCUCCAAUGCAGACAUCUAAGUUGGAGCAAAGAUUCAUCGCUAUGGGAUGGGGAUGCGUCUGAUUAGGUUGUCGGCGGGGUAACGGCCCACCGAGCCUGCGAUCAGUAGGGGUUCUGAGAGGAAGGUCCCCCACAUUGGAACUGAGACACGGUCCAAACUCCUACGGGAGGCAGCAGUGAGGAAUAUUGGUCAAUGGAGGCAACUCUGAACCAGCCAAGUAGCGUGCAGGAUGACGGCCCUAUGGGUUGUAAACUGCUUUUAUAAGGGAAUAAAGGGCGCCACGUGUGGUGUUUUGCAUGUACCUUAUGAAUAAGGACCGGCUAAUUCCGUGCCAGCAGCCGCGGUAAUACGGAAGGUCCGGGCGUUAUCCGGAUUUAUUGGGUUUAAAGGGAGCGCAGGCGGGCUUUUAAGCGUGACGUGAAAUGCGGCGGCUCAACCGUCCGAAGUGCGUCGCGAACUGGGAGCCUUGAGUGAGUCCGACGUCGGCGGAAUUCGUGGUGUAGCGGUGAAAUGCUUAGAUAUCACGAAGAACCCCGAUUGCGAAGGCAGCCUGCCAGGUUGUAACUGACGCUAAUGCUCGAAGGUGCGGGUAUCGAACAGGAUUAGAUACCCUGGUAGUCCGCACGGUAAACGAUGGAUGCUCGCUGUUU